Molecule: ribosomal RNA, 484 nt
Filed under: uncultured bacterium
Lineage: Bacteria
Description: partial 16S ribosomal RNA
Rfam family: Bacterial small subunit ribosomal RNA
Source: RNAcentral
AUUGAACGCUGGCGGCAGGCCUAACACAUGCAAGUCGAGCGGAUGAAGGGAGCUUGCUCCUGGAUUCAGCGGCGGACGGGUGAGUAAUGCCUAGGAAUCUGCCUGGUAGUGGGGGAUAACGUCCGGAAACGGGCGCUAAUACCGCAUACGUCCUGAGGGAGAAAGUGGGGGAUCUUCGGACCUCACGCUAUCAGAUGAGCCUAGGUCGGAUUAGCUAGUUGGUAGGGUAAAGGCCUACCAAGGCGACGAUCCGUAACUGGUCUGAGAGGAUGAUCAGUCACACUGGAACUGAGACACGGUCCAGACUCCUACGGGAGGCAGCAGUGGGGAAUAUUGGACAAUGGGCGAAAGCCUGAUCCAGCCAUGCCGCGUGUGUGAAGAAGGUCUUCGGAUUGUCAAGCACUUUAGGUUGGGAGGAAGGGCAGUAAGUUAAUACCUUGCUGUUUUGACGUUACCAACAGAAUAAGCACCGGCUAACUUCGUG